This 72-nucleotide transfer RNA is filed under the name Ovis aries (sheep). It matches the Rfam family "tRNA". Rfam says of the family: Transfer RNA (tRNA) molecules are approximately 80 nucleotides in length. Their secondary structure includes four short double-helical elements and three loops (D, anti-codon, and T loops). Lineage: Eukaryota; Metazoa; Chordata; Mammalia; Artiodactyla; Bovidae. The record is from Rfam by way of RNAcentral.
UCCCUGGUGGCUGAGAUGGUAAAGCAUCUGCCUGCAAUGCGGGAGACCAAGGUUUGAUCCCUGGGUUGGGAA